GACGUAGGGCGCGAGCGUUGUCCGGAUUUAUUGGGCGUAAAGGGCUCGUAGGCGGCUUGUUGCGUCGACCGUGAAAACCCGGGGCUCAACUUCGGGCUUGCGGUCGAUACGGGCGGGCUAGAGUUCGGUAGGGGAGACUGGAAUUCCUGGUGUAGCGGUGAAAUGCGUAGAUAUCUGGAGGAACACCGGUGGCGAAGGCGGCAUCCUGGACCGACACUGACACUGAGGAGCGAAAGCCAGGGGAGCAAACGGG
This 253-nucleotide ribosomal RNA is filed under the name uncultured bacterium. Its description in RNAcentral is "partial 16S ribosomal RNA". It matches the Rfam family "Bacterial small subunit ribosomal RNA", at positions 524 to 776 of the family's 1533-position model. The record is from RNAcentral.